AGAGUUUGAUCAUGGCUCAGAUUGAACGCUGGCGGCAGGCCUAACACAUGCAAGUCGAGCGGUAGAGAGAAGCUUGCUUCUCUUGAGAGCGGCGGACGGGUGAGUAAUGCCUAGGAAUCUGCCUGGUAGUGGGGGAUAACGUUCGGAAACGGACGCUAAUACCGCAUACGUCCUACGGGAGAAAGCAGGGGACCUUCGGGCCUUGCGCUAUCAGAUGAGCCUAGGUCGGAUUAGCUAGUUGGUGGGGUAAUGGCUCACCAAGGCGACGAUCCGUAACUGGUCUGAGAGGAUGAUCAGUCACACUGGAACUGAGACACGGUCCAGACUCCUACGGGAGGCAGCAGUGGGGAAUAUUGGACAAUGGGCGAAAGCCUGAUCCAGCCAUGCCGCGUGUGUGAAGAAGGUCUUCGGAUUGUAAAGCACUUUAAGUUGGGAGGAAGGGCAGUAAAUUAAUACUUUGCUGUUUUGACGUUACCGACAGAAUAAGCACCGGCUAACUCUGUGCCAGCAGCCGCGGUAAU
This 521-nucleotide ribosomal RNA is filed under the name uncultured Pseudomonas sp. RNAcentral's name for it is "bacterial SSU rRNA". It matches the Rfam family "Bacterial small subunit ribosomal RNA", at positions 8 to 524 of the family's 1533-position model. Lineage: Bacteria; Pseudomonadati; Pseudomonadota; Gammaproteobacteria; Pseudomonadales; Pseudomonadaceae. The record is from RNAcentral.